Molecule: long non-coding RNA, 6116 nt
Filed under: Sus scrofa (pig)
Lineage: Eukaryota; Metazoa; Chordata; Mammalia; Artiodactyla; Suidae
Description: lncRNA (ENSSSCG00025036081.1)
Source: RNAcentral
AACUGUGAGAUAUUUUUACUCACAUUGUGAUUCCUACACAAAAUGCCAAAGUGUGAAAAAUAAAUUCUUCCUGGGAGGUGAUACGGACCUCAGGAGGGGCAGUGGACACUGUUGUGAAGAAAACUCACCGGCUUUAAGCGACAUAUCUAAGUUCUUUGGCCUCAGUUGUCUCAUCGAGAAAGUGGGAUUAAACAUUUCCUUAUCUGAGUGUUGUAAGCACUGCAUUUGGUCCAGAGUUAAGCUUAGAAAUAGUCGAGAAAUAAGUUUCGAACAAAGUGUCAAGCUGCAUGACAAAGAAGCAUCUCUCUUUCAUUAAUGUCCUGUGACAGAGUGAGCGGCAGAGACACAAUGAAAGGAUUCCGUAGCAGUUGAUUUUUCACAGAGACGAGAAAAGUGGUUUCUUUCUCUGUCCCAGAACUAAGGCUUGGUCAGAGGAUUUCAACAGAUAAUAACCAAAUGUCUGCAGGAAAUUUGCAGAAACAAUUGAUUUCCUUCCCAAGGACUGGAAAUGGCGCGGGCAGUUGGGCAAUAAAGGAGCUGCCGUAAUUUUCUGCUCCAUUUCUACGACGGCAACAAAAACAUGAUGGCGGAGAACACCGCCAAGUGACAAUCUUCAUUUCAUUCCUCGGGGCUGGAAAACACAUCCGUUUAUUAAGUCUCUAAAAGCUGGAACCACAGAUUGCAGCAACGAGACGCGACAGAGAAAAGAUUAGUUGGGUUGAGCCAACCGUAUGUGGCAACCGAAUGAAAAGAUGGUUCGAGAUGGUGCCCGUAUGGAGAAGCAGCGGGCCAGUCCCUGGGAAGACCAUGAACAGAGAGCGCUCAUUUACAUCCGACGUGAAGUGUGUCUUCCUAGGCGCCUGGCAAGCUCCCUAGAAAAGGAGAUUAAUGCAAGUGGGGAAUAUGAACUCUCUCUAGCAAACCACGUCCAUUUUCCGCCUGGGGAGGGCUCUGAGUGAUGGAUGCCACUGACCUUGGAGGAGGAGGAUGUGAAUGAGGUCUGUCCCAGUGCCUUCCGCUGCUUCCCGACUCUUCCCAACUUGCCUUUCACAGUGAAGUCUCAUCUGUCCCAACAUCCCUGGGCAAAGAGCGAGUCCACCUGAAUGCAUUUCACCAAAAAGAGGCUUUCCCUCUGUUCAAAUUUCAAAUGCUGAUUUAUGUCAAGUUGAACAUAUUUGUGUAGAAGUCUUUUCAGAAUUAAUGCCAGGCUUCCCUGCCCUCUCGGCAGGUACCCGUUUGGUGAGCCGGCCUAUAAGUCGGUACAGGGCACAGAGCCGGCUUAGAAGGGCACUAGACAGUGUCCCAUGCUUCUUGCUCUAUCACUUUAUUUCUUUUUAUAAUUCAAGGUCAUCAAUGUGACUCCUGCAGAGGGAGGGGUGCCUCUGUAGAGGUGGACAAGGUGUGAGAUGAAGCUGGGGAGAUACAAAGGGCUAUAUGCUUUUUGAGUAUUUGCGCCUGAGAUUUUUCUCCCCUACCCCUUUCACCACUAGGCUCUAUGAAUGGCCAUUUCUUGGUCCUCUUGUCCACGGUGCCCACCCAGGCUCCGUGCCCUCCCUGAACACCAGACCUGCUCCUAAGACUCUCCGCUGGAAAGCUCCACAAGAACACGGAACAGGUAACUCAACAGACACUGCCAGAACCGGCACCUGCUCUGACUCCCCAAACCUCGGCCCCCCACUCGUCCUCCUCUCAGCAAGGGAAACUCCAUCCUGCCAGUUACUGAGGUCCCAGGACUUGGAGUCACUCUUGACGACUUUCCUUCUCUCUCCCCACCUCCAGGGAAAUAAGUAAAUCCGGGAAGCCUGACCCUCAGAAGAGGGAGGAGGCAGAAGCUGAUGACUCCUCCCCUUCCCACGGCAGCCACCCUGGUCCAAGCCACCGCCUCCUCUCUCCUAGGUCACUGCAGACUUCCCUCCUGGCCGCCUGGUUUCUGGCCUCGUCUCCCUGUAAUCAAUCCAAGGAUUCCUCCAAGUCACACUCGGUGGGUGGCCUGUGAGGUCCAUGCCUCUGGACCGUCAUGAGCCCUCUGACCUUGUCACCUUCCUCCUUCCAGUCCACUCGGCUCCACCCCGCCCCCACCGGCCCUCGCUGCUCCUCACACGAGCCAGACCCAUUCCUCCUCGGACCCCUGCCCUUGCCCUUUCUUCUGUCUACACUGCUAUUCACCUAGAUACCCACAUGGUUCUCCUCCCAGCUUCAGAUCCUGACUCGAGCAUUACUUUCCAGCAAGGCCCUCUCUUUCCUCUCCUCACUGUGCUUUAUUUCAACACUCAAUCCCUACCCAACAUAAAACAAAGUUUGCGGAUACAUCUUGUUUAUUGCCUCCACCCACUGGAAUGUAAGCUCCCUGAGAACAGGGAUGUUUUCUCCUGUCCUGUGCACAGCUAUAUCCCUGACCCUGGCGACAGCACCUGGCACACAGAUCAACACCAAAAAUAUUUCCUGAACGAAGUUCUCUUCCUAAUGAAGUCACGGAGCCUGCUUCUAGACAUAUAGGUAGUGAUUGUGAGCAAGGGUUUUUUUUUUUUUCUUUCUUUUUUGGCCGCCCUGUGGCGUAUGGACUUCCAGGGCCAGGGAUCAGGUCCAAGCCAUAGCUGCGACCUAAGGUGAGGUGGUGCCGGAUCCUUAAUCCACUGUGCUGGGCCAGGGAAGCACCCAAGAUGCCACCAAUCCUGCUGCGCCGCACAGGAGACCCCAUGAGCAAGGAUUUUUAGUUCAGACUAUUAAAGAUUCAAAAACCUGCUCUAACCCUGCUUUAGCUGGGCGACCUUGGGCAAGGUAUUGAACUUUUCUAAAUGUAGUUUUAUCAUCUCUAAGACAGGUAUGAUGAUGUACAAAAAAGUAUGUAAAGUACUGAGCAGAGAACUCAGCAAACUAAUCACUCAAUACAUAGGCGUCAUUAUGCGAAUGAUCCUCAGAGCCACACCUCAGCACAGGUGUCUAGCAUCUGUCACCUGUUGACGACAACACCCCCGACUCAGCUUCCUGAACCUAGCAUUUCCCCAGACCUCCGUGUCUUCUACGCUCUGGGGCCAGGGUGCUCUUCCAGAACAGAAAUCGAACUGGUAAUGGGGGAUACAUCCAAAAAUUCUCUCUUCCAAAAAAAACUGGCAGUAAAUUGUCAAAACCAACUGUGCCAGAACUCACAAAGUUAACCAAAGGCUUGCAGUCAUCUGGGAAGCUUUUAUUCACAAUAAAUGGCUAAACCUUGGUAAGAACAGUGAGAUUUGUGGGGUUUUAACUUGCCCUAUUCCAAUUUCCCUACCACCGGCUCCAUGGUUGCCUUGAAAACUGACCAUAGGAAAAACGCAGCCUGACAGUCAUCAGACGGAUCAAAACAGAGCUGGAGCUCCUCUGAAGUUUCAUUCCCAAGGAACUGUCAUCAUCGACGUCUCCAGUAGUUCCCUAGAAGACUCCGCUUGCAGAGUCAUCUUUAUACCCCCUGACUUGGAAUUUACUCCACGUAAAUAUCCUUUUCCCUGGGGAUGUUUAUCAAAAAAAGAAAAAAAAAAUUAAAGGCAACUGUUUAACUAUCUGGCUGGGUGCUUUGCGGCUGCCCGAGGCAGUGAGUAACAGUUGGGACAGACAAUUAGCCAGCCAAAAAGCUGAGGAGGAAAAGCUGAGGAAUGAACCUCCAAGGCAGCUCUAAAAAGCCGUGACGCCUUCCUGGGGAUCUAGAAGGCCACGUACAUGCGCCUGGGCAGGGCUGGGAGUGUGCUCAGGGCUGUGUGGAUGCUCACACAAGACCUAAGAAGGCCCCAGGCUGCUGCUGGCUGACCUCCAUACGCCGCUGGACCCGGAAGUGAAAGCUAAGGCGGAGCUGUCAACUCCCUGGCUGAGUGGCCAGGGUGAAGAUGAGCCCCUCCUGCACACAGAGCCCUGGGCAAAGACUGGGAGAUGCACUGGCUAUGGAAAUGCAAUGAAAUCUCUCUCCACUCAUUAACUGAUCACUGAGUUAACUGCGCAGACAGUUUCAUGUCUAUACAUGAAAAAGAUGAUCGAUUUUACAGAAUUAAUUCAGAAAAGGGUUUGCACCAAACAGUAACAACAAAGCUUGGCAACAAGGUAGAUGCUGAUUUCCCAAGUUACCACCUCACAAUAUUCAAAAUGUCAACUCUUCAACAGAAAAACCUAUGAGGCAUGCGAAGCAAAGAAUGUAUAGGGUAUAUACUGGAGAGAAAGAAUUAACAGAGAUUUUUUUCCUGAGACAGCUCAGACACUGGACUUACUAGAUAAAGAGUUUAAAUCACUUAUUUUAAUAUGUUCAAAGAUACAAAGGAAACGGUGUCUAAAGAACUGAUGGGGAGCAUGAUAAUGUCUCACCAAAUAGAGAACAGCAAUAAAGAGAUGAAAUUAUGAAAAAGAACCAAAAUGCAAUUCUGUAGUUCAAAACUAUAAUAACUACAACAGAAAAUUUACUAGAGGAGCGCCACAUUAGAUUUGAGCAGGUGGAAGAAGCUUGAAGGUGGGUCAAUUAAGAUUAUCCAGUGUAAGGAAUAGGAAGAAAAAAAAGGAAGAAAAAACUGAACAAAGCCUCAGAGAUCUGUGGAGCACCAUCAAAAAUUCCAAUACAUGCUUAAUGGGCAUCUCAGAAUGAGAGGAGACAAAAGGGCAGAAAGAACAUUUGAAGAAAUAAUGGCAAAAAACUUUCCAAAUUUGAUGAAAAACAUUAACCUGCACAUUCAAGAAGGUCAAAUUUAAGGUCUGGUUAGGAUAAACUCAAAGAGGCCCACACCCACAUAUCACAAUCAAACUGUCUAAAACCAAAGAAAAAGAAUCCUUAGAGCAUCAAGAUAAAAGGGACUCAUCAUGUCCUAGACAUCCUUACUAAGACGAAUAGCUCUCAUCAAAAAACCAUGGACGAAUGGGACCUAAUUAAGCUUAAAAGCUUUUGCACAGCAAAGAAAUUCAUCCACACCAUGAAAAGACAACCUACUGAAUGGGAGAAAGUAUCUGCAAGUGAUACGACCAACAACAACAACAAAAAACAGCUCAUACAACUCAACAUCAAAAAAACAAACAACCCAAUUAAGAAAUAGUCAGAAGACUCAGACAUUUUUCAAAAAAAGACACACAGAUGGCCAACAGGCUCAUGAAAGGAUGCUUAACUUCGUUAAUCAUCAGAGAAACGCAUGUUAAAACCACAAUGAGAUAUCACCUCCUACCAGUCAGAAUGGCUACCAUCAAAAAAGAACACAAAUAACAAAUAUUGGAGAGAAUGAUGUGGAGAAAAGGGAACCCUCACACACUGUUGGUGGGAAUGUAAAUUGGUGCAGCCACUGUGGAAACAGUAUGGAGGUUUCUGAAAAAACUAAAAAUAGAACUACCAUAUGACCGAGGAUUUCCACUCCUGGGAAUAUACAUCUAUGCCCAAAGAAGAAAACACUUAUUUGAAAGAAAUCUGCACCCCAAUAUUCAAAGCAGCAUUAUUUACAACUGCCAAGAUGUGGAAGCAAUCUAAGUGUCCAUCAACAGAUGAGCGGAUAACUACUUGGCCAUAAAAAAUGAUGAAAACUUGCCAUCUGAAACACAUGGACGGACUUAAAGAAUAUUGUGCCAACUUAAAUAAUUCAGAGAAAGACAAAUACUACAUAUCACUAAAAAAUAAAACAAACUAGUGAGUGUAGCAAAAAGGAAACAGACUCACAGAUACAGAGAACCAACUAGCUGUACCCAGUGGGAGGAGGGAAGGGGGAGGGGCAAGGGAUUAAGAGAAAUAAACGACUAUGUAGAAAAUAAUCUACAAGGAUAUAUUGUACAACACAGGGAAUACAGCCAAUAUUUUAUCAUAAUUAUAAAUGAAAUAUAAUCCUCAAAAAUUGUGACCACUAUAUUGUACACCUGAAAUGUAAAUAAUAUUGUAUAUCAACUAUACCUCAAUUAAAAAAAAAAAACAUGGAGGGCAGAAGGCAGUAGGAUGACAUGUUCAAAACGCUGAAAGAAAGAGCAUCACCCAGGAACUCUAUACCCAGCAAGAAAGACUAUUCCUCAAGAAAAUGAAAGCAAAAUUAAGAUAUGCUCAAAUUUAAAAACAAAACAAAACAAAAAACUUGAGAGAAUUUGUUACCAGCAGAUGGGCCUUACAAGAAACACUAAAAGUAGUCCUUCAGGGAGUU